GAAAAAUUUUGAACAAAAGGUGUCCUCCUCUCUCUCCUCUUUCGCGCUCCUCCCAGAUCUCCAAUUCUCUCUGCACCUCACGCCGCGCUGCCUCCGACGACCAACGAGCGACGCCCUAGCCUCCGACGCCGACGCCGAUGACGCCUCCGACGACCGAGGUCCGCCGCUGCCCACGAGCGACGUCCGUCGCCUCCCACGACCGAGGUCCGCCUCCUCGCGCCGACGCCGACGCUGCGUCCGACGAGCGACGUCCGACUGACCGCAACUCUCUCUCUCUUCUGCUUCUUUUCAAAUGAUGAUUGCCCCCCUCACCCACCGCCACCGGCUCCACCAUUGCUUCUGAACUCUUUCGCCACCGCUGCUACAUCCCUCUCUCGUUCAGUUGCAGACAGAGACCGCGUGUAUAUGCACAACUCUCUAUGCUCCGCCGAGGUUUCGCGUUCAUUGUCCCGUUUGCUGCAGUUUCGGACAACGAUCUGGAAGGAAGAUGGGCGAGUCGUCUUGGCCUUCUGACGCGCAGAUGAUGAUUUAGAAGUGGGCACGUCAACAAUAUGCCUGGAGGACCAGUUAAGAUCGCUAGGAUUUAUCCGUGGAAAUGAUGGUUCUUUAUAUGGAUCAGCUCGUGAUCCUGCUUUCUUCAAGGAUAUAAAUCUCGAAGCCAAUCUAUCAAAUAAAAAGAUAAGGGAUGCUAUUUUAUCUAUGGGAGCAAGUGACGCAUACAUCCUACUGAGAAAGCUUUUGGCCUUGUGGCAGUCAAGGUUCUUUCCAAAAAUAUUCUGAAAACACUUCCCUGAUUGGUGGAUUUGAGGUUGAGCUUGGAUUUGCCUAGGCGUUGAUGCCCACCUAGCCGAUGCCAACGCCACCUCCGACGAGCGAGGUCUGCCGCUGUCCACGAGCGACGUCCGUCGCCUCCCACGAGCGAGGUAUAUUUCAGAUCGUGAUGCUUUUUUUCCUCAGGUAUAUUUUCAUUCACGACAUUUAGUUGACAUGAGCGUGCUUGUCGAAGGGCUUCUCGCUAGUACAAGUUGGGAUGAGCUUGCUUAUGUUUGGCAACAUGGAACUGAUCCUAGAGCUCCUUGAAUUAGGAUAAAAAUUUCAAUUUUUGGGGUCCCCUCAUUGAGCUGUGUCAACUUGGGAUCAGGAUUCUGAAUGGCCAAAUUUGAAAGUGUAAUUGUCGUUCUACGGUUGAUCUUGGUAAAUGACUCACAAAUAAUUAGACUCUAAAUUAGAUUCAAUAAAGCAGAGAAAAUUUCUAUUUGCAUUAUUAGAAUGGUGAGUUUGCGCUUGUUAUGUUCACCUUGUAUGAUAUAGCAUUAGUGAUGAUUCUCUAGUCUUAUUAUAAGGAUCCAGUUGCUGUUGCUGUAGUGAAAUUUGUGUCUCGAUAAUGAAUUUUCCGUGUUCGCUAGUUUGAUCAGGGAAAGACCACGUAGUUGCCUCUUCUUUGUCAUGCGAGGAUGAGGUUAACUUUCAAUAUUAUCAGUUCCUUUGUUUGGUUAGUGCAGCAUUCUUUGAUACUUCUCACUUUAUGGUCACUCUUGCAACUUGUGUAUCACCUGUUCCGGGCGUGGGAGUUCCAACUUCUAUGACAAAAUAGUUCUGGUGCUUGUCUCAAAACAUCAUUUCUUUGUUAAUUGUGUUUUCUGAGCAUUUGAAAUGAUUUGAAAGUGUCAUUUUAAUGCCUCUCUCUAAGGUGCAUAUUGUCCCAUCAAAUAAAAGAAGUAUUUUUAUUAGCGUGUGAAAGAUCGUGAGUUAGUCAUGGUAGACUAAUGGAGUCGAGCAUCCUUUAAUAUACUGUUAAUCAUGGCUACUAACACUCCAUUCCGGAAAGGACAAAAAGAGGAGGUGAGGACAAUUAGGGUGGAAAUAAAGUAAAUUUUGAAAUUUUGUGACAUUAAGACAGAGGGAAAUUUGAAAUUUUCUCCUGUAAAUUUCUGUCCUUCCCCAUUUUAUCGCUUUCCAAACAAAGCAUAAGAGUUUUGUAUGAUUUUGGCUUCAAAAACUUUUAGGAAAUUCACUUGUUUGAGUUGAGAAGGAAGAGUCAUGUGACAUAUGAGAGGGAACAAAGAGUGACAAGUUGAGCUAUCAUAACCUGAUUAGUGCUAAGCUUUAGUUUGCGGGAUGUGAAACUUGAGGUCACACAGGGCAUCUCGCUUUCUUUUCAUUGCUGUGAGUAUUAGCCAGCACACUAGUCGGAUUUUGAGUUACUUUCUGUUGCAUCACGAUAACAAUUAGUUUUUCAAUGUUUGGAAAGCGAAGGAUACAUUAGAUUUCCUUUUGUGUAUGAUGUGUGAUGUAUGAUUUAUAGGUUUCUCUGCUAAGCAUGUAAUUUGUGUGCUUUACUAAUCUUUAAGUGUGGACCCAAGUUGAGAAGGUCGAUCUUGCAACUGAUCUCAAUCAUGAGCAAAUUAAUCUGCAUUCUUCCAUUCAUAUCAUAGCUAUCAAUUGAAGAACAAUAGGGAAUGAAAGACAGGAAAAGCAUGAUAGAUCCUAGAUGGAACCCACAAUGGCGGAGAAGAUCGAAAGGAAUCUGCAACCUGGGAACACCGGCUUUUCUGCUUACAUUUCCCUUCCAUUGCCUUUUGUUUUAUAAUUCAAUAUUUUAUGUUUAGAUUGUU
Long non-coding RNA from Syzygium oleosum, 2615 nucleotides. RefSeq lists it as uncharacterized. The record is from RefSeq and is a predicted model, not a curated record. NCBI's taxonomy places the organism in Eukaryota, Viridiplantae, Streptophyta, Magnoliopsida, Myrtales, Myrtaceae. The transcript is spliced from 4 exons.